UGUAUUUGUUUUGUUUUGAUUUGAUUGGUUUUAGGGAGAGGUUUUGGAGUUUUUGCUGUGAUAGCAUAUGUAGGUUUCAGAGGCAUUUGGGCAUUUUAUUUAUGUGGCUGGGGUUUACUGCCUGCUACAUUAAUUCUACAGUCACAGAUACCGUUUUAUUUUUUCAUUUUUUGGAUCUUAUCAGCGACCCCACGAACAAUCAGUUAUAAGUCUUUGUCAUUGAAAGUAUCAGUCUGUUUCACAAAUAGGGUUUCUUAAUGCCAGAUAGUGGGGCACUUUAGGGUGGUGCCGCUACUCAUAAAGUCUUGCCGGCCACUUUCAAAUUCUUACUGGGUGCUCAAAUUGGCUUGAAGAUAAGAUGAAUAUCAGCCCUCUUUAGUAGAAUAUGGAAAGUUCGUUGGUGAACUUAGACAACUUCAUCUUCAUCUAGCUAAAUUCAUAAAGUAUUUGAAAUUUUGGCGGUAUUCAGAUUCAGGCCAGAAAGAUUUUUAAGGAUAGACAUGAAUUUAGAAACCAUAUGAUAUACUGAAGAACCUUCAGUAGUCGGGUGGCAUCAUGUCUAUGCCUCUGUGGUUUUUACCUUCGUAAUGUCUCUACCCAUAAAUGCCGAUGUCACAAGGGCAGCAUUGCUGAACAUGGCAAUUGGAAAGCUAGCAUUAUGUUACAACAAUAUUGAAGUCUUCUGAGGAGUGGUAAAGGUGAGACAUGGUUUUGGUUGCUUCAUCAAGUUAUGGCAAGGGUGAUAUCUGAGACAAUAGGGACUACAAUAAACCUUAUUGAUAUUUGCUGAACAUUUCUGGAAACCACAGUUGAAAUUGUGUCAGGUCCUGCUGUUAAAGUUAUACCAAACUAGAACAAUGUUCUAUGAUGUUGUGGUGCCUUCUUCAAUUCUCUUGUUUGUUGAAGUCCAAGGGUGGUGGAAGAGGAGAAGGAUGAAAGUAACUUUCAUUAUGACAAACUUCUGAACAACUAUCUUUUGAAACUUCUGAAAAGGUUGAGCAGAUUGAUCCCAAUGCUAGAAAACCACUGAGCAGGGAAUCAGGGGUGCGGAAUGAUAGGUAUACUUUAAUUCUUUGCCUAGUCAUUCUAAUCUUUGGUUCCUGCAGCAAACAAUCAGAAUGCAGUAGGUCAGACUAUAUAGGCUUGUUGGUCAGGUGAUGUACUAAAUAAUCAACACACCUUUUGGAAGCAGGAGGUGAUUUGAUUAGAAAUUGAAGGUUUCGCUUUAGGCAUUUCUUAAUAAGCCUACAAUUCUUCUUAACAACCCAACCUAUUUCCACAACGAGUUGUGUUGCAUCAGAUCUUACGCUAUAACCCACCAAGUCAUAAUUCAGCUCUGAUUGUGGCAUUCUUCAUUCUGCUUGCACUCAGCUCUUUGCAAAGCGACCUUCCAAUUCAGUAUCACGUAAGCUCCAUUUGAUUUUCUUGGAAACUGAAUUUGCUUUUUCUUUGUGGAAUUGGCUACUCCUGGGUUCCCUGCGGCUGUGAUGUAAUCUGAUUUCUGCCACAUGGAUGCCCAUAUCUCUUCGACCCUGAGUACAUCACUUAUUACAUACUUAGCUCUUAACUUACUGGCUUUAGAUAUAAAAAACCUAGAUUGAUGUAAGAUGAGACUACAUCUGGGCUAUGACAGAUGUCUGGUGAAUCAUCAGCAUAAAUUGAUUUGUGGACUGACCCGGAUGAGCCCCGUGUGCAUGGUGUGAAGAACCUGAGAAAAGUCUUGUAUGGGAUUGUAUAGCUUAUCUGAUUGCGUUGAAUCAAAGCAACGAGGAUGCUCUUCGAAGGAGGAUAAGAACAAUAUACUUGAUAGGUGCAUUUCUAGUAUCUAUAAUUUAUUUUAAAUUGAUUCUCUCUUGAAUUAUUCAA
Long non-coding RNA from Vitis riparia (riverbank grape), 1866 nucleotides. RefSeq lists it as uncharacterized. Lineage: Eukaryota; Viridiplantae; Streptophyta; Magnoliopsida; Vitales; Vitaceae. The transcript is spliced from 7 exons. The record is from RefSeq and is a predicted model, not a curated record.